Paragonimus heterotremus is the source of this 81-nucleotide non-coding RNA. NCBI's taxonomy places the organism in Eukaryota, Metazoa, Platyhelminthes, Trematoda, Plagiorchiida, Troglotrematidae. The record is from the annotation of a GenBank genome assembly.
GGCUUCGUAGCUCAGCUGGCACAGCGCUUGUCGCGUUGAGGCAUAGUGUUUGUGGCGCUGGUUCGAAUCCAGCCGAAGCCC